RNAcentral lists this unclassified non-coding RNA (288 nucleotides) under Hevea brasiliensis (rubber tree). Lineage: Eukaryota; Viridiplantae; Streptophyta; Magnoliopsida; Malpighiales; Euphorbiaceae. The record is from RNAcentral.
AUUUGCCUCCUCCCAGAAUUCAGGUAAAGAAAUGACAUUGCUCUAUUGUUAAUACUUUAUACAGUUAUCAUUUAUUGAUUCUCUAGAUUUUUCAAAGUAGUUACUAUUAGUUUAAAAUUGCUUGAUGGAUAAGGAUAGGAGUCACGGUUACUAGAUGCAAACUCUGAACUUCAGAGUUGAAGUAAAAUUUUUUAUGUCACUCAAUUUAAAAUGUUGAUCCAUAUGUCUUUUCUUAAGUUCCCCUUGUGUCUAUUCUAGAUAAAUGAUCUUAUAACUUUUACAUUCAGG